This 103-nucleotide transfer RNA is filed under the name Candidatus Woesearchaeota archaeon. RNAcentral's name for it is "tRNA-Leu". It matches the Rfam family "tRNA". Rfam says of the family: Transfer RNA (tRNA) molecules are approximately 80 nucleotides in length. Their secondary structure includes four short double-helical elements and three loops (D, anti-codon, and T loops). Lineage: Archaea; Nanobdellati; Candidatus Woesearchaeota. The record is from RNAcentral.
GUGGGAGUGCCGGAGUCUGGAAAUGUUAAAAACACCAGUUAACGGGCAGGACUUAAGAUCCUGUGACUUAGUGUCUACGCAGGUUCAAAUCCUGUCUCCCACA